This 1136-nucleotide long non-coding RNA is filed under the name Equus asinus (donkey). Its description in RNAcentral is "lncRNA (ENSEASG00005033901.1)". Lineage: Eukaryota; Metazoa; Chordata; Mammalia; Perissodactyla; Equidae. The record is from RNAcentral.
GUGAGCUACGGCCCAAGUAUUAUCUUCUUACAUUCCCUCUUGCACACCCUCACACUCUGAGUGGGUGUGGGUGGGAACCUGCCUCCCUUUUCUUUGGCAGGAUGCUCUAUAGCUCAGCAGAAAUGUCGGGAUCUAGAGGAGGGAGUGCUGCCCCUUUUCACAGGCCUGCCUCGGAUUCCUCUCCCUUCGUAGAUCCCUCAGGAUUUGACUCUCUUUUCCGUGCGGGUGCUGCUGGACUUUUUGGAGAUGCAGGGGACAGAACACAAGUGUACAGAGCUGGGUCUGUGCUGACCAAACGCUUCUCAGAGUUUCUUUGCCUGCAGAUCAUUGCUUUGAUCACGACCAUUCACUCUGAGUAAAUAUGUUCUUAGUUUGGAGUUGAUGUCUGUUAACAAUGAUGUGUUAUGCCUCGGCGCCAGCAUGAAGCACUCCUACUACUGCAAUAAGCCAGGUUUCUGAGCUGUUUCACCCAGGAAUGAAUUCAGUUCAGCCCUUUUGGGCUGCAGAAGAACAGAAGGAAUGUCAAAUAGUUAAAAUUUAGCCUGCACAGAAAUGGAGCUUCUGGCCAGGAGUUCUUCAGACAAAGCGAGGAGGAUUCUUUUGAGCUUCCAGAGUCCAGCUCCAGGCUCUUUGCCAUCACUGGCUGAGACCAGAGAUAGACAGCAAGGAACAAACACAUCUUGGAACUGCUGGUACCAGAGCAGUUCCUGACCAUCCUGCCCAGAGCUCCAGGCUUGAGUGCAGGAGCAGCCCAGAGUCUAGGGAGGAGGCUGUUACUGUACUGGAGGUGCUUGGAGAGGAAGCUGGCUAAUCCAGGAGGAAAGCUCAUUUGAGUCAAGAUCUCAAGAAGAAAAAUGCGUUGUGAUUGGUUGAUAUGUCUCUUAGGUUUCUUUUAAUAAAUGGGUCCCCCUUCCUUCUUUUCUCCCCCUUGCAACUCACUUAUUAAAGAAAUCAAGUUGUUUGUCCUAUGUAGUUUCCCACAAUCUGGGUUUUGCUGCUUGCAUCUUGUGCUGUAGUUUAACAUGUUCUGUUGUCCUCUCUGUUUUCUAUAAAUUGUAGCAAAUCUACAGGCUUGACCAAAAUCAAAUUUAAGGUUUUAGAGCAAGACAAGUUUAACUUGGCAAGCUGAUGUUCUG